Long non-coding RNA from Ictalurus punctatus (channel catfish), 1049 nucleotides. The record is from Ensembl. Lineage: Eukaryota; Metazoa; Chordata; Actinopteri; Siluriformes; Ictaluridae.
CGUGUGUGUGUGUGUGUGUGUGUGUGUGUGUGUGUGUGUGUGUUGAAAGCUUCGAAGGCACCUUAGCCGAUCAGUAUUUAGAACCGAAAUUACAAGCAGUCAACGUCCACUUUAUUAGGAACACCUAUAGGCCUAGACCUGCUCAUUCAUACAUAUACAAUACAAUCAGCCAAUCAUGUGGCAGCAAUUUAAUGCAGGAAAUCACGCAGAUACAGGUCAAACAUCAGAAUGGAGAGAAAUGUGAAAUCUCUGACUGUGGCAGUCGGAUUGGUUAAAGUAUUUCAGAAACUACUGAUCUCGUGGGAUUUUCACACACACACACACACACACACACACACACACACACACACACUUCUAGAGUUAAUGGUCCUGUGGGCGGAAAUGCCUUGUUAAUGAAAGAGGUCAAAGGAGAAUUGGCGGAAAAGACCAGGUGACAUUUUUCCAACCUGCUUUCUUCCAGCUGCCCAGUUCUGCCUUUAUGAGACAGCAGAGAUGUUGGAGGUUGGAGAACACUGGAGAACCCGGACGAAACCCACACAGACACAUGGAGAACAUUUAUUACACAAUUAUUGGACUGUACGAUAUGGGACUGUGCAAUAAUUAUGGAGUUGUGCAUAAACUGUGGAGUUGUGUAACAGUAACGAGGCUGUGCAAUCACCUCAGGUGAAACACUGUCGUUUUAACUCAGAUGAUGACACUACAUGUGAUGUAUGUAUGUAAAUUUGUGAUUGAAUAUAUUGUGUGCAAUUGUGUAUGUUGUCGCUCAAAGCGUUGAGCCCAAGAAAAGUUUUUCCAGAGUGUAUAUCUUCUCUUAUAUUAUGUACAAAAACUCCACUCAGCCCACAUGGACCACUCCAUUACCCCACCAUGAUGUAUCGCCUGAAGAAAUAAGACCAGGAAAUAUCCACAACACAGCCCAUUCUGUUACUGUGUUCUACCUGGGAUCAACCUUAACAAUCCAAUCCUGGUGAUUAAAGGCACAGUCAAAGAUUUCCAAGUCAAAACACUUUUUAAUACUUGGUGUCGUUUAUUUCCUCACAAUCCUAGCA